This 253-nucleotide ribosomal RNA is filed under the name uncultured bacterium. RNAcentral describes it as "partial 16S ribosomal RNA". It matches the Rfam family "Bacterial small subunit ribosomal RNA", at positions 524 to 776 of the family's 1533-position model. The record is from RNAcentral.
UACGGAGGGUGCAAGCGUUAUCCGGAUUUACUGGGUUUAAAGGGUGCGUAGGUGGGUGGAUAAGUCAGCGGUGAAAUCUCCGGGCUUAACUCGGAAACUGCCGUUGAUACUAUCUGUCUUGAAUAUCCUGGAGGUGAGCGGAAUAUGUCAUGUAGCGGUGAAAUGCUUAGAUAUGACAUAGAACACCCAUUGCGAAGGCAGCUCACUACGGGAUUACUGACACUGAGGCACGAAAGCGUGGGGAUCAAACAGG